UAUCUACGAAUCGCCCUGACUACGAUUGC
RNAcentral lists this small RNA (29 nucleotides) under Bombyx mori (domestic silkworm). RNAcentral describes it as "ovarian small RNA-23744". Lineage: Eukaryota; Metazoa; Arthropoda; Insecta; Lepidoptera; Bombycidae. The record is from RNAcentral.